RNAcentral lists this ribosomal RNA (253 nucleotides) under uncultured bacterium. RNAcentral's name for it is "partial 16S ribosomal RNA". It matches the Rfam family "Bacterial small subunit ribosomal RNA", at positions 524 to 776 of the family's 1533-position model. The record is from RNAcentral.
UACGAAGGGGGCUAGCGUUGCUCGGAAUCACUGGGCGUAAAGCGCACAUAGGCGGAUCUUUAAGUCAGAGGUGAAAUCCCAAGGCUCAACCUUGGAACUGCCUUUGAUACUGGGGAUCUCGAGUCCGGAAGAGGUGAGUGGAACUGCGAGUGUAGAGGUGAAAUUCGUAGAUAUUCGCAAGAACACCAGUGGCGAAGGCGGCUCACUGGUCCGGUACUGACGCUGAGGUGCGAAAGCGUGGGGAGCGAACAGG